CCCUUAGAUGUUCUGGGCCGCACGCGCGCUACACUGACGAUGGCAACGAGUUUUUCCUUCGCCGAAAGGUGUGGGUAAUCUUUUGAAACAUCGUCGUGCUGGGGAUAGAUCAUUGCAAUUUUUGAUCUUGAACGAGGAAUUCCUAGUAAGCGCGAGUCAUCAGCUCGCGCUGAUUACGUCCCUGCCCUUUGUACACACCGCCCGUCGCUACUGCCGAUUGAAUGGUUUAGUGAGGACUCCUGAUUGGCGCCGCCGCCCCGGCAACGGAGCAGCGGACUGCCGAAAAGUUGUUCAAACUUGAUCAUUUAGAGGAAGUAAAAGUCGUAACA
RNAcentral lists this ribosomal RNA (329 nucleotides) under uncultured eukaryote. RNAcentral describes it as "partial 18S ribosomal RNA". It matches the Rfam family "Eukaryotic small subunit ribosomal RNA", at positions 1470 to 1796 of the family's 1831-position model. The record is from RNAcentral.